Molecule: RNA transcript, 765 nt
Organism: Gymnodraco acuticeps
Lineage: Eukaryota; Metazoa; Chordata; Actinopteri; Perciformes; Bathydraconidae
Gene: atp6v0e1
Gene name: ATPase H+ transporting V0 subunit e1
Exons: 4
Source: RefSeq, a predicted model, not a curated record
CAUGUGAUACGUGCUGCCUGUGGAUCCUGUCUGCCAGCUGCACAGCACUGAAGUUGUCAAAGUUUGUACAACUGAGAUAUCCUUGGUUUUCAAGAAACCCCGCCAUGGCAGAAAUGGGUUUUGUGAUCGCGAUGUCCGUGAUGACUCUGUUUUGGGGCAUUAUCGGAGGAGUAGUGCCGUGGUUCAUCCCCAAAGGACCAAACAGAGGAGUGAUAGUCACAAUGCUGGUGUUAACUGCUGUUUGCUGCUACCUGUUCUGGUUGAUAGCAAUUCUGGCCCAGCUGAACCCACUUUUUGGGCCGUCUCUGUCCACUGACGUCAUCUGGUACCUGAACUAUCACUGGGCUUAAUUUAUUCUUAAAAUAUUCCCGAAUCAUGCAGGUACACUUCCUCCUCUGAAAAAACAGGGGAGGAUCUGAUUCUGCUGCAUACCAAUGGGCGUUUGCUUCUCACCUCAUGCUGAGAUAAUUCCUUCUAAACUCAGACCCCUGUUUGAUAUACAGAGUGAUGCCCACACUUGUGUAAAAAAUAUUCCCAAAGGACUUCUGAGAGAUCUCACUGAAUGUGCUUUACUUUAAAUUAAAACAACCUUCUCUUGUUGUCCGGUUUAUAUAUUAUGUAUAUCGUGUUUAUUGUUAAUAUGAAUGACCUGUCUUUAAAUAGUGAAGUGGAGUAUUUGAUGUGUGUUCGAUUGCUUUUGUCUGAUAAUAUUAGUGAUGGAUGUAAUCCAUACGAUAGUUGUUAAUAAACAAAAAAUACACCAUU